Coccinella septempunctata (seven-spotted ladybird) is the source of this 204-nucleotide long non-coding RNA. RefSeq lists it as uncharacterized. The transcript has 2 exons. NCBI's taxonomy places the organism in Eukaryota, Metazoa, Arthropoda, Insecta, Coleoptera, Coccinellidae. The record is from RefSeq and is a predicted model, not a curated record.
CUGAAUUGUUUUCUACCAGAUAAAAUGAAUUUCAUGGUAUGAUAUCACUGCAUCCAUCAACAAAUAGAAUUUUGUUAUUGCACAAGUUUGACAUCGCCAAUGAAUUCUCGUCGGAUGAUGUUUUGUUAAUGUCAUGGUUGAAACUAAUAGAAUUUGAAAUCAGGUAGCAGGUUGUAGAAGCCAGAAUAAACGAAAUAUGGUAGA